GUAGGGUGCGAGCGUUAAUCGGAAUUACUGGGCGUAAAGCGUGCGCAGGCGGUUUUAUAAGACAGAGGUGAAAUCCCCGGGCUUAACCUGGGAACUGCCUUUGUGACUGCAAGGCUUGAGUGCGGCAGAGGGGGAUGGAAUUCCGCGUGUAGCAGUGAAAUGCGUAGAUAUGCGGAGGAACACCGAUGGCGAAGGCAAUCCCCUGGGCCUGCACUGACGCUCAUGCACGAAAGCGUGGGGAGCAAACAGGAUUAGAUACCCUGGUAGUCCACGCCCUAAACGAUGUCAACUGGUUGUUGGACGGCUUGCUGUUCAGUAACGUAGCUAACGCGUGAAGUUGACCGCCUGGGGAGUACGGCCGCAAGGUUG
RNAcentral lists this ribosomal RNA (369 nucleotides) under uncultured bacterium. RNAcentral describes it as "bacterial SSU rRNA". It matches the Rfam family "Bacterial small subunit ribosomal RNA", at positions 527 to 896 of the family's 1533-position model. The record is from RNAcentral.